Molecule: ribosomal RNA, 253 nt
Filed under: uncultured bacterium
Lineage: Bacteria
Description: partial 16S ribosomal RNA
Rfam family: Bacterial small subunit ribosomal RNA
Source: RNAcentral
UACGUAGGGUGCGAGCAUUGUCCGGAAUUAUUGGGCGUAAAGAGCUCGUAGGCGGCCUGUCACGUCGGAUGUGAAAGCCCGGGGCUUAACCCCGGGUCUGCAUUCGAUACGGGCAGGCUGGAGUUCGGUAGGGGAGAUCGGAAUUCCUGGUGUAGCGGUGAAAUGCGCAGAUAUCAGGAAGAACACCGGUGGCGAAGGCGGCCCACUGGACCGGUACUGACGCUGAGGUGCGAAAGCGUGGGGAGCAAACAGG